This 31-nucleotide non-coding RNA is filed under the name Homo sapiens (human). Lineage: Eukaryota; Metazoa; Chordata; Mammalia; Primates; Hominidae. The record is from RNAcentral.
UGUAACCAUCAACACGGAACUCCUACUUCCU